AGAUCCCUGAGAAGCUGCUGGCUAAGGUGGGGGGAGAGGGGGAAAAGAGUGGAGGGGCGAAAGGCCACAAGGCUCAGUGUCGGAUCAGGGUGAUCUGUGUCGCUCCUUCCUGAUGAUCCAUGAGUCUUGUAGAGAGUAUGGAUCCACACUCAGCCAGUUCGUGGCCUUCCUCCAUGUCUACACCUCCAUUUACAGCAGUAAACAGAGCCAGCUCACUCUGAAACACCUACAGGUUCCAGUCUCGUACUACAGAGGCAGCUAAGCUGGAGGCUGAGAUCAGUAAGGCCCAGGAGAACAUCCAGGCAGCAGAGCAACUCAUACACCAACUGGACGGAGAACACUCACGCUGGAAUGCCCAGGUGCCUGAGAUCACUGAGGAGUUGGAUGCUUUGCCUAAGAGAGCGAUGCUGGCAGUAGCCUUCAUCACAUACCUGUCUACCGCUCCAGAGGACAGGAGACGAAAACGCCUGGAGACAUGGAGGAAGGCUUCUGGACUACAGAGAGGCCAGUCUGAAGAGCAUAGUGUACGAAUAUGUCUGCCACUCACUCUUCAAUACUACGUUCCCAGGCCUGUGCCUGUCUCUGUGUCUGAGUGACUCAGACCUCUGGCUCUCCUCACAGAACUCCAACUACGAACAGG
Molecule: long non-coding RNA, 640 nt
Filed under: Salmo salar (Atlantic salmon)
Lineage: Eukaryota; Metazoa; Chordata; Actinopteri; Salmoniformes; Salmonidae
Description: lncRNA (ENSSSAG00000083411.1)
Source: RNAcentral